UACGAAGGGGGCUAGCGUUGUUCGGAAUUACUGGGCGUAAAGCGCGUGUAGGCGGUUGCCAAAGUUGGGUGUGAAAGCCUUGAGCUCAACUCAAGAAAUGCACUCGAUACUUGGUGACUAGAGGACCGGAGAGGAUAGUGGAAUUCCCAGUGUAGUGGUGAAAUACGUAGAGAUUGGGAAGAACACCAGUGGCGAAGGCGGCUAUCUGGACGGUUUCUGACGCUAAGACGCGAAAGCGUGGGGAGCAAACAGG
This 253-nucleotide ribosomal RNA is filed under the name uncultured bacterium. Its description in RNAcentral is "partial 16S ribosomal RNA". It matches the Rfam family "Bacterial small subunit ribosomal RNA", at positions 524 to 776 of the family's 1533-position model. The record is from RNAcentral.